UACAGAGGUCCCAAGCGUUGUUCGGAUUCACUGGGCGUAAAGGGUGCGUAGGUGGUGAGGUAAGUCGGAUGUGAAAGCUCGGAGCUCAACUCCGAAAUGGCAUUGGAAACUACCUUGCUCGAGGGUUGGAGGGGGGACUGGAAUGCUUGGUGUAGCAGUGAAAUGCGUAGAGAUCCGGAGGAACACCGACGGCGUAGGCAGCGCCCUGGACGACACCUGACGCUGAGGCACGAAAGCUGGGGGAGCGAACAGG
This 253-nucleotide ribosomal RNA is filed under the name uncultured bacterium. RNAcentral describes it as "partial 16S ribosomal RNA". It matches the Rfam family "Bacterial small subunit ribosomal RNA", at positions 524 to 776 of the family's 1533-position model. The record is from RNAcentral.